UACGUAGGGUGCGAGCGUUGUCCGGAUUUAUUGGGCGUAAAGGGCUCGUAGGCGGCCUGUCGCGUCGGGAGUGAAAGCCCACUGCUUAACGGUGGGUCUGCUUCCGGUACGGGCGGGCUAGAGUAUGGCAGGGGAGACUGGAAUUCCUGGUGUAGCGGUGGAAUGCGCAGAUAUCAGGAGGAACACCGGUGGCGAAGGCGGGUCUCUGGGCCUUACCUGACGCUGAGGAGCGAAAGCGUGGGGAGCGAUCCGG
RNAcentral lists this ribosomal RNA (253 nucleotides) under uncultured bacterium. RNAcentral's name for it is "partial 16S ribosomal RNA". It matches the Rfam family "Bacterial small subunit ribosomal RNA", at positions 524 to 776 of the family's 1533-position model. The record is from RNAcentral.